AUACGGAGUUACAAAGGACGACAUUAGACGAAUCAUCUGGAAAGAUGAAUCAAAGAAGGUAAUAAUCCUGUAGUCGAAAAUGUUGUCUCUCUUGAGUGGAUCCUGAGUACGACGGAGCACGUGAAAUUCCGUCGGAAUCUGGGAGGACCAUCUCCUAAGGCUAAAUACUCUCUAGUGACCGAUAGUGAACCAGUACCGUGAGGGAAAGGUGAAAAGCACCCCGGAAGGGGAGUGAAAUAGAACCUGAAACCGUGUGCUUACAAGUAGUCAGAGCCCGUUAAUGGGUGAUGGCGUGCCUUUUGUAGAAUGAACCGGCGAGUUACGAUUUGAUGCAAGGUUAAGCAGUAAAUGUGGAGCCGUAGCGAAAGCGAGUCUGAAUAGGGCGUUUAGUAUUUGGUCGUAGACCCGAAACCAGGUGAUCUACCCUUGGUCAGGUUGAAGUUCAGGUAACACUGAAUGGAGGACCGAACCGACUUACGUUGAAAAGUGAGCGGAUGAACUGAGGGUAGCGGAGAAAUUCCAAUCGAACCUGGAGAUAGCUGGUUCUCUCCGAAAUAGCUUUAGGGCUAGCCUCAAGUGAUGAUUAUUGGAGGUAGAGCACUGUUUGGACGAGGGGCCCCUCUCGGGUUACCGAAUUCAGACAAACUCCGAAUGCCAAUUAAUUUAACUUGGGAGUCAGAACAUGGGUGAUAAGGUCCGUGUUCGAAAGGGAAACAGCCCAGACCACCAGCUAAGGUCCCAAAAUAUAUGUUAAGUGGAAAAGGAUGUGGCGUUGCCCAGACAACUAGGAUGUUGGCUUAGAAGCAGCCAUCAUUUAAAGAGUGCGUAAUAGCUCACUAGUCGAGUGACACUGCGCCGAAAAUGUACCGGGGCUAAACAUAUUACCGAAGCUGUGGAUUGUCCUUUGGACAAUGGUAGGAGAGCGUUCUAAGGGCGUUGAAGCAUGAUCGUAAGGACAUGUGGAGCGCUUAGAAGUGAGAAUGCCGGUGUGAGUAGCGAAAGACGGGUGAGAAUCCCGUCCACCGAUUGACUAAGGUUUCCAGAGGAAGGCUCGUCCGCUCUGGGUUAGUCGGGUCCUAAGCUGAGGCCGACAGGCGUAGGCGAUGGAUAACAGGUUGAUAUUCCUGUACCACCUAUAAUCGUUUUAAUCGAUGGGGGGACGCAGUAGGAUAGGCGAAGCGUGCGAUUGGAUUGCACGUCUAAGCAGUAAGGCUGAGUAUUAGGCAAAUCCGGUACUCGUUAAGGCUGAGCUGUGAUGGGGAGAAGACAUUGUGUCUUCGAGUCGUUGAUUUCACACUGCCGAGAAAAGCCUCUAGAUAGAAAAUAGGUGCCCGUACCGCAAACCGACACAGGUAGUCAAGAUGAGAAUUCUAAGGUGAGCGAGCGAACUCUCGUUAAGGAACUCGGCAAAAUGACCCCGUAACUUCGGGAGAAGGGGUGCUCUUUAGGGUUAACGCCCAGAAGAGCCGCAGUGAAUAGGCCCAAGCGACUGUUUAUCAAAAACACAGGUCUCUGCUAAACCGUAAGGUGAUGUAUAGGGGCUGACGCCUGCCCGGUGCUGGAAGGUUAAGAGGAGUGGUUAGCUUCUGCGAAGCUACGAAUCGAAGCCCCAGUAAACGGCGGCCGUAACUAUAACGGUCCUAAGGUAGCGAAAUUCCUUGUCGGGUAAGUUCCGACCCGCACGAAAGGCGUAACGAUUUGGGCACUGUCUCAACGAGAGACUCGGUGAAAUCAUAGUACCUGUGAAGAUGCAGGUUACCCGCGACAGGACGGAAAGACCCCGUGGAGCUUUACUGUAGCCUGAUAUUGAAAUUCGGCACAGCUUGUACAGGAUAGGUAGGAGCCUUUGAAACGUGAGCGCUAGCUUACGUGGAGGCGCUGGUGGGAUACUACCCUAGCUGUGUUGGCUUUCUAACCCGCACCACUUAUCGUGGUGGGAGACAGUGUCAGGCGGGCAGUUUGACUGGGGCGGUCGCCUCCUAAAAGGUAACGGAGGCGCUCAAAGGUUCCCUCAGAAUGGUUGGAAAUCAUUCAUAGAGUGUAAAGGCAUAAGGGAGCUUGACUGCGAGACCUACAAGUCGAGCAGGGUCGAAAGACGGACUUAGUGAUCCGGUGGUUCCGCAUGGAAGGGCCAUCGCUCAACGGAUAAAAGCUACCCCGGGGAUAACAGGCUUAUCUCCCCCAAGAGUUCACAUCGACGGGGAGGUUUGGCACCUCGAUGUCGGCUCAUCGCAUCCUGGGGCUGUAGUCGGUCCCAAGGGUUGGGCUGUUCGCCCAUUAAAGCGGUACGCGAGCUGGGUUCAGAACGUCGUGAGACAGUUCGGUCCCUAUCCGUCGUGGGCGUAGGAAAUUUGAGAGGAGCUGUCCUUAGUACGAGAGGACCGGGAUGGACAUACCUCUGGUGUACCAGUUGUCGUGCCAACGGCAUAGCUGGGUAGCUAUGUGUGGACGGGAUAAGUGCUGAAAGCAUCUAAGCAUGAAGCCCCCCUCAAGAUGAGAUUUCCCAACUUCGGUUAUAAGAUCCCUCAAAGAUGAUGAGGUUAAUAGGUUCGAGGUGGAAGCAUGGUGACAUGUGGAGCUGACGAAUACUAAUCGAUCGAAGACUUAAUCAA
This 2612-nucleotide ribosomal RNA is filed under the name Staphylococcus aureus. RNAcentral describes it as "partial 23S ribosomal RNA". It matches the Rfam family "Bacterial large subunit ribosomal RNA", at positions 307 to 2925 of the family's 2925-position model. RNAcentral also lists the same sequence under 1 other name. Lineage: Bacteria; Bacillati; Bacillota; Bacilli; Caryophanales; Staphylococcaceae. The record is from RNAcentral.